Molecule: transfer RNA, 86 nt
Filed under: Deltaproteobacteria bacterium
Lineage: Bacteria; Pseudomonadati; Myxococcota; Myxococcia
Also listed under: 5 other names
Description: tRNA-Leu
Rfam family: tRNA
About the family: Transfer RNA (tRNA) molecules are approximately 80 nucleotides in length. Their secondary structure includes four short double-helical elements and three loops (D, anti-codon, and T loops).
Source: RNAcentral
GCCGGAGUGGUGGAAUGGCAGACGCGCCGGACUCAAAAUCCGGUAGGGGCAACCCUGUGCGAGUUCAAGUCUCGCCUCCGGCACCA